Molecule: ribosomal RNA, 253 nt
Filed under: uncultured bacterium
Lineage: Bacteria
Description: partial 16S ribosomal RNA
Rfam family: Bacterial small subunit ribosomal RNA
Source: RNAcentral
UACGUACCGUCCAAACGUUAUUCGGUAUCACUGGGCUUAAAGCGUUCGUAGGCGGCCUAGAAGGUGUGAUGUGAAGGCCCACGGCUCAACCGUGGAACUGCGUCGCAAACCACUAGGCUUGAGGAAGACAGGGGUGAAGGGAACUUAUGGUGGAGCGGUGAAAUGCGUUGAUAUCAUAGGGAACACCGGUGGCGAAAGCGCUUCACUGGGUCUUUUCUGACGCUGAGGAACGAAAGCUAGGGUAGCGAACGGG